GACGAACGCUGGCGGCGUGCUUAACACAUGCAAGUCGAACGGAAAGGCCCUGCUUUUGUGGGGUGCUCGAGUGGCGAACGGGUGUGUAACACGUGAGUAACCUGCCCUUGACUUUGGGAUAACUUCAGGAAACUGGGGCUUAUACCGGAUAGGAGUUCCUGCUGCAUGGUGGGGGUUGGAAAGUUUCGGCGGUUGGGGAUGGACUCGCGGCUUAUCAGCUUGUUGGUGGGGUAGUGGCUUACCAAGGCUUUGAAGGGUAGCCGGCCUGAGAGGGUGACCGGCCACAUUGGGAAUGGGAUACGGCCCAGAAUCCUACGGGAGGCAGCAGUGGGGAAUAUUGGACAAUGGGAGGAAGACUGAUGCAGCAACGCCGCGUGCGGGAUGACGGCCUUCGGGGUGUAAACCGCUUUCGCCGGUGACGAAGCGUGAGUGACGGUAAUGGGUAAAGAAGCACCGGCUAACUACGUG
This 468-nucleotide ribosomal RNA is filed under the name uncultured bacterium. RNAcentral describes it as "partial 16S ribosomal RNA". It matches the Rfam family "Bacterial small subunit ribosomal RNA", at positions 28 to 507 of the family's 1533-position model. The record is from RNAcentral.